Molecule: long non-coding RNA, 2399 nt
Organism: Mustela erminea (ermine)
Lineage: Eukaryota; Metazoa; Chordata; Mammalia; Carnivora; Mustelidae
Exons: 3
Source: RefSeq, a predicted model, not a curated record
CCCCAAAGGGACCAGCAAAAGGGCACCUUGUACAGUCUCUUGUGGGAAGGACUACCACCCCAACUAUCAGAGAGGGCAAGCCCACAGACACCACCUUGUCUGAAAGCCGAAGUGGACGCCUCAGGUAUCACGGCACCAGCGUCUCGAGCCCUAUUAAGACAGUCCUCCUUCAGGCUGACAUGGAGGCAAUCUGCAGGGAGGGCUUGGAAGACGCAAUGUGAGGCUCAUUGUACGAUUUGCUUAGAUCCUGGAGUUGGAGAGCUGGAAAGGAAGGGUCUCAUGGCCCCGUGAUGAUACAAGGAGGUCCAAGCACUCAUUGAAAGGAGGGUUCCCGGAUCGUCCACGUCUCCUCUACUGCGCAAGAGGGUCUGUGUCCCACCGAGAUGCCACGUUGCACGUUGGUGUUCGCCGAGUUCUGGAGUCCCGCCGAAGUCGCAGUUCGGAGGUUCUGUUUUUGCUCUCCCCCAGGGCUGCUGUGCCGUCAUUGGGGAGAUUCAACAAACAGUGGCAGACAGCUGGUGGGCCUCCUCUGUGCUACAACCCCCAGAGGCCAGACACGCAGGGACCCUGAAGCUUUGCAUUCUCCCUCCCUCCACUCCUCCACGACUUCCUCCCAAGCCUGAGUCUCUUGUCUAGCAUCUGUUCUCCCCAUCCUAUCUUCUGCAGCUUCUUAAAACUCGGGGGUGGCAAGGAGGAUGGCGGGGGUGGGGAGGGGGGACCACGCCGCACAUUGCCCUCAGGGAGGCCUCCUUGCAAAUGCCCCAGGCUCUGGGACCUCAGACAUGUGCACUCAAUCUGUAUCUUCUCCCCGAGCCAGUCUGUGUUUCAGAAUGAGCUCCCCAGCUUUGCUUACUUUCCCUCCAGCUGUCCUGGUUCUUAGCUCUUGGGAUAGGGCCUGCUGUGUGUAGUGGGGGUUCCUUCCACUCACGGCCAAGGCCCGAGGAAGACCCCUUCUCUUUGCGACAAGUCCCUGCUGGGAUACCUAAUAGUCAACGGGCCCGGUGGAGGAAGUGGGGAGAGAUGAAUCUUGUCCCCACAGGCGGGCUCAAGCUCUAGGGAAGUUAGGGUACUUGGGGAUGAGAGCUCCAGCUGCUCAGGCUGCUCUGGAGUCUAAUGCAGUGUCAACUUGGGCAUUUGAUUCCAGAACAGGGAGGAUGAGUAAUAGGUCACUGAGACUUCUAUCUGGGUACUGCCGCUGCUCCUGAACCGGGGAGGUGGGGAGAGGGGGGCCUUGGACUCAGCUGGUGCUCUGGUUGGGAAUGAGGGCCUGGGCCCCCUGCCUGCAGGACACCGAGGGAGGCAGAGACAGCCGGUGGGCAGCUGACGGGGCAGGGAGUGGCUGUUCUUCUUAAUGGCUCUCAUGGCCCAACAGUUUCCACUGGGUAGUGUGGUGCUGGGGCCCAGGGGAGCCUGGCAGUGGGGAGGAUCCAGCAUGGCCCACAGAGCCAAUUCUGGGGGGUCUGGGAGUAAGGGCAAGGCAGAUACAGCAGCUUAUUUGUUCUAGAUCAGGGUGGCCUCUGGGUCUAUUUUGGCCAGAGGCCUGGGACCACCUUGCCUCUUGGGUGGGGAUGGCAAGGUGUCUCCGACUUGAACAGGGGAGACUGACGGAAGAAGGGAGGGUUGGCUCCCCAGCUUUCCUCACCGCAUCCACGCGCUGCUGUUAGGACUUAGGGAACCUGUUGCUUUACCUUGGCUCCUUUGAGGAUGUGGAGAUAGUGAGGGCAGAAAAGGGCGGUCCUCCAGGCCUCAGACACCCCAGCCUUCCUCCCUCUGGGCACGGACAGCUGCUGGGGAGCUCAUCCCCGGUUCCCUUUCCCGGGGGGAAGGGGGUGGAGCACCCAAGUUUCCCCCACCUACUCCCAACUGACUUUUCCCUGCCCGACUCCAGAAUCAGCUCCCCUCUUUCCCUCUCUGCCUCUGGUUAGGCCCCAAACCUGUGUGUUCUUCCUCUCGUCCCUUCCUUUCCUCCAGCUGUUCCCGUGCGACCGUUGCCGCUCGUGACAUCUGCCAGGUGAUCUUCCCCGACAUGAACAGGAUCACCUCAUCCCUAUUCCCUCCGUGAGGGAGCUGGAACUUCAGAGAGGUUUUAACCUAUGGGCAACUCCACAGAAGCAUGUUGCUGAGAAACAUUUCUGGAGACCGAGCCCAGGCUCAAGGGAACAAACCACUGAUGGGCAGAGUCUGAGGUAGCUGUCACAAGUGAUGGCACUGUUGGCCCCCAGGAUGAAGUCUUUUUUAUCUCAGCAUGGGACAGCCCCCUUGCGCUAGCCAGCCAUAGCAGAGGACAUCUGUGGUUCUUGAAUGGUGAUACCUCUAGAACCCUCUCCUCUCCUCAGUCAGCAGGCUGAGGCCUACAACAAAACAGAGAUGUCACCUCUCUUGACCCCUUGCUUACUGUC